RNAcentral lists this long non-coding RNA (1298 nucleotides) under Mus musculus (house mouse). Its description in RNAcentral is "long non-coding RNA chr16:4904063-4905361". Lineage: Eukaryota; Metazoa; Chordata; Mammalia; Rodentia; Muridae. The record is from RNAcentral.
UUUUUUUUUUUUUUAAGAUUUAUUUAUUUAUUUUAUGUAUAUGAGUACACCAUUCCUCUCUUCAGACACACUAGAAGAGGGCAUCAGACCCCUUUGCAAUGGUUGUGAGUACCAUGUGGUUGCUGGGAUUUAAACUCAGGACCUCUGGAAGAGCAGUCAGUUCUCUUAACCACUGAGCCAUCUCUCCAGCCCUCAAGGAUUCUUAGGACUGUUAAGCACAUUUGUUGGAGGCCAGCCUGGUCGACAGAGCAAGUUCUAGGACAGCUGGGGAUACAUAGAGAAACCCUGUCUUAAAAAGCUUAAAAAAAAAAAAAAAAAAAAAAAGGAGGACUAUGUCUUUUCAAUUAGGCCCUAAUAAAAAGAAUUUGACAUCAUACAAGAAUGCUCAGGAGUCUGGGAACCAUCUGGAGACCUUGCACCCGAGGGCUGGCUUGCAUAUGUCCUACAGGUUAAUAUGGCUUCCCUACUCCUUACCACAGGACCUUUCCAUGGGCUGAGUGCUUGAAUGUGCUUAAGUGUGCUUAAGUGCAUCUGCCUUGCCCAGAGUCUUGGAAAUCAUACUCUACCAUUUCCACAAGAGCUGCUGAUAUGUGCUCAGCUCUUUCUGUUUCCUCUUGGGUUCUAUUAGAAGUGAGAGCCCUUGAGACUAUCAUGGAGUCUGACUCCUACACAAUGUGAUUGUGUUUUAAAGGAUGUCCAGUUGUCCCCAGCCAGGCCCCCGUGUCUUGCCUGGGGUUUUGAGGCAGCCAGCCUCUAUGCUUAUUGCAUUUCUCUCAAGCCAUCCAUAUAGACCGAGGCUCCUCUGUAGAGGAGUGCCCAGAUGGACAGGUACUCUAAUGGAGCUUAGGGUCAUGUGUGCUGUCAGGAGGCUUCCUUGUAUCCAGUGCCUCUUGCAUCUCUUGCUGCCCAGCUAAUGCAGUACCAGCCCAUCAGAGGAGUCUUAGCACAGGCGAGUGUCCUGCCAGCCAUUCAUUUGAUGUACUGUAUGUGUGAGGGUGGACUAGGCUGUUUUACAGCUGCUGAUCAAAGUCCUACUCCACUGCUUCAUGGUUUAGACUCACUGUUAGAUGGAUAGAGCAUUGAAGCUAAGGCCCAGACAUGGUCAGACACCACCAGUGCCUUGGGGUCCUCUCCCUAUGAGUGCUCGUAAGUACCAGUGAUUUCGUAUGUACCAGCAGGGCUGUGUGUGGCUGCAGUGAUCUGGGAGGGUGCUCUUCUGCUUGUCUUCGUGGCAGUCAUUCUUGUUACUGACUUAAAACCAUGACGUCACAUGUUUACUGCGGGACAGAGCCAGGGCU